RNAcentral lists this ribosomal RNA (497 nucleotides) under uncultured bacterium. RNAcentral's name for it is "partial 16S ribosomal RNA". It matches the Rfam family "Bacterial small subunit ribosomal RNA", at positions 28 to 507 of the family's 1533-position model. The record is from RNAcentral.
GAUGAACGCUGGCGGCGUGCCUAAUACAUGCAAGUAGAACGCUGAAGGAAGGAGCUUGCUCUUUCCGGAUGAGUUGCGAACGGGUGAGUAACGCGUAGGUAACCUGCCUGGUAGCGGGGGAUAACUAUUGGAAACGAUAGCUAAUACCGCAUAACAGUAGAUAUUGCAUGAUAUCUGCUUGAAAGGGGCAAUUGCUCCACUACCAGAUGGACCUGCGUUGUAUUAGCUAGUUGGUGAGGUAACGGCUCACCAAGGCGACGAUACAUAGCCGACCUGGGAGGGUGGUCAGCCACACUGGGACUGGGACACGGCCCAGACUCCUACGGGAGGCAGCAGUAGGGAAUCUUCGGCAAUGGACGGAAGUCUUACCGAGCAACGCCGCGGGAGUGAAGAAGGUUUUCGGAUCGUAAAGCUCUGUUGUAAGAGAAGAACGAGUGUGGGAGUGGAAAGUGCACACUGUGACGGUAUCUUACCAGAAAGCGACGGCUAACUACGUG